UGCGCUGUCGCGGGGGGGCCGCUGCUGCAUCCCGCUGCCUGCGGCGGCACAAACGCGCUCCCAGCACGCCUACGGCCAGUUAACACAAUGGAAACGCAGCCUUUUCUGCAGGGCUUGACCUGAAAGGAAGCUGGGCUUGGGAACUCAUGCAGCUUCCAGCCAUGUGCAUGAAUGGUGGCUAGUAGCAGUUUAAAAAGAUCUGAAAGAAACUCUGACAACUCUGCAGCAACCACUGGUUAUCCUACAGAGAGCAACCAGACUCUGAAUAUUGUCCUUCGAGUUUCCCAGGAAGUUUGCUUGGGCUGAAAAGAUCAAAUCAUUCAUCACAUUAUGGCCCAUCUGCACUCUGUUCAUGGGGACUAUUGCCUGGUGCUACUUAAGGCCUAGUGCUUUUGAAUAUUUUCUCCAGUAUUUUGUUAUAAAUUUACCCCUGGAGCUACAGUGAGAAACAAC
This is a long non-coding RNA of Motacilla alba alba, 453 nucleotides long. RefSeq lists it as uncharacterized. The transcript has 4 exons. Lineage: Eukaryota; Metazoa; Chordata; Aves; Passeriformes; Motacillidae. The record is from RefSeq and is a predicted model, not a curated record.